UACAGAGGGUGCAAACGUUGCUCGGAAUUAUUGGGCGUAAAGCGCGUGUAGGCGGCUUGUUAUGUCGGUCGUGAAAGCCCCCGGCUCAACCGGGGAGGGUGGCUGGAAACUGGCGUUCUUGAGGGCGAGAGAGGAGGGUGGAAUUCCUGGUGUAGCGGUGAAAUGCGUAGAGAUCAGGAGGAACACCCGGGGCGAAGGCGGCCCUCUGGCUCGACCCUGACGCUGAGGCGCGAAAGCGUGGGGAGCGAACGGG
RNAcentral lists this ribosomal RNA (253 nucleotides) under uncultured bacterium. Its description in RNAcentral is "partial 16S ribosomal RNA". It matches the Rfam family "Bacterial small subunit ribosomal RNA", at positions 524 to 776 of the family's 1533-position model. The record is from RNAcentral.